AGUGAACGCUGGCGGUAGGCCUAACACAUGCAAGUCGAACGGCAGCACAGUAAGAGCUUGCUCUUACGGGUGGCGAGUGGCGGACGGGUGAGGAAUACAUCGGAAUCUACUUUUUCGUGGGGGAUAACGUAGGGAAACUUACGCUAAUACCGCAUACGACCUACGGGUGAAAGCAGGGGAUCUUCGGACCUUGCGCGAUUGAAUGCGCCGAUGUCGGAUUAGCUAGUUGGCGGGGUAAAGGCCCACCAAGGCGACGAUCCGUAGCUGGUCUGAGAGGAUGAUCAGCCACACUGGAACUGAGACACGGUCCAGACUCCUACGGGAGGCAGCAGUGGGGAAUAUUGGACAAUGGGCGCAAGCCUGAUCCAGCCAUACCGCGUGGGUGAAGAAGGCCUUCGGGUUGUAAAGCCCUUUUGUUGGGAAAGAAAAGCAGCAGGUUAAUACCCCGCUGUUCUGACGGUACCAAAAGAAUAAGCACCGGCUAACUUCGUG
This 492-nucleotide ribosomal RNA is filed under the name uncultured bacterium. RNAcentral's name for it is "partial 16S ribosomal RNA". It matches the Rfam family "Bacterial small subunit ribosomal RNA", at positions 29 to 507 of the family's 1533-position model. The record is from RNAcentral.